AGAGUUUGAUCCUGGCUCAGAUUGAACGCUGGCGGUAUGCUUAACACAUGCAAGUCGAACGGCAGCAUGGCCUGUAGCAAUACAGGUUGAUGGCGAGUGGCGGACGGGUGAGUAACGCGUAGGGAUCUGCCCUGUAGUGGGGGAUAACC
Molecule: ribosomal RNA, 149 nt
Filed under: uncultured Gammaproteobacteria bacterium
Lineage: Bacteria; Pseudomonadati; Pseudomonadota; Gammaproteobacteria
Description: partial 16S ribosomal RNA
Rfam family: Bacterial small subunit ribosomal RNA
Source: RNAcentral